CAAGCAGAUGACAAAUUAAUGUUUUGCAUGAUUCCUGAUUUUCCGAAUACCGUAAAUAGUGCUAAUUUAAACAAAAACAUUUGGGUGAUAGCGUUGAAAAGUAUAUAGUUAAUAUACUCAAAAAAAGAACAUACCGCCCCCUUUAUGAAGCAAAAUAUUCGGUCAAUAAAUGUUUUCUUCAAUAUAUGGACAUGAAUAGUAUUUUGGACAACACUGAGAGUAAAGAAAUGAUGAUACUGACGUGUAUAUUUCAAUAAAAAUAAGACAGGAAAUAAAUAAAUAAAAAUCAAAUCUUAUCAAAAGAUAAAAUCCCCAUCAACUCACCAAUACACGAUUGAUCCUAGAUAAACAAAAAGUGUUCAUGUAAUACACGUCCAAAUAGGCAGCAAAUCUACAAGAAAAUCAUUCAACUUAUGUCAUCAAUUUUGGGCGGUAAGCUGCGAU
RNAcentral lists this long non-coding RNA (444 nucleotides) under Mytilus galloprovincialis (Mediterranean mussel). The record is from RNAcentral. Lineage: Eukaryota; Metazoa; Mollusca; Bivalvia; Mytilida; Mytilidae.